Molecule: ribosomal RNA, 492 nt
Filed under: uncultured bacterium
Lineage: Bacteria
Description: partial 16S ribosomal RNA
Rfam family: Bacterial small subunit ribosomal RNA
Source: RNAcentral
AGUGAACGCUGGCGGUAGGCCUAACACAUGCAAGUCGAACGGCAGCACAGUAAGAGCUUGCUCUUACGGGUGGCGAGUGGCGGACGGGUGAGGAAUACAUCGGAAUCUACUUUUUCGUGGGGGAUAGCGUAGGGAAACUUACGCUAAUACCGCAUACGACCUACGGGUGAAAGCAGGGGAUCUUCGGACCUUGCGCGAUUGAAUGAGCCGAUGUCGGAUUAGCUAGUUGGCGGGGUAAAGGCCCACCAAGGCGACGAUCCGUAGCUGGUCUGAGAGGAUGAUCAGCCACACUGGAACUGAGACGCGGUCCAGACUCCUACGGGAGGCAGCAGUGGGGAAUAUUGGACAAUGGGCGCAAGCCUGAUCCAGCCAUACCGCGUGGGUGAAGAAGGCCUUCGGGUUGUAAAGCCCUUUCGUUGGGAAAGAAAAGCAGCAGGUUAAUACCCCGCUGUUCUGACGGUACCCAAAGAGUAAGCACCGGCUAACUUCGUG